CUCUUACUGGGACACUUGGCUUAUCCUGGGAAACAGAUGUGUUUAAAGGCAAUGUAAAGGACUGCUACAUGAUGAAUCUUACUCUCUUGGAUGAAAUUGGAGAGCCCUUCUGGUGUUUCAGUGCCCCAGUCCACGUGGAACUGUCCUCCAGGACAUCUGGCCUUUAUGAUUACAUGGGUCAUAUCUAUACCACAAACUAUGCAGAUUCAGAGGGUAAAGUUUGCAUUAAGUUGAUAUGGCUGGAAGAAACCAAGGAGUAUAUUAUAGUCAAUUUAGUGCUUUAUGUAAGCACCAAAAAAGUAAAUAACUGGUAUGGAACAAAUUACUGACUUGACUGGCCCACUAAUUUCCUUGCUUUAAAAACCAAAAUAAACCAAAAAACACACUAAACCUUUGAUACCAAUGAGAAAGACUGUUCCUGCAAGGUUUUCAGUAAAAAGUGCAAUUGCAUAAUUUGUUUAAUUGGUAUUGGAGACAUCGAAGAGACAUAUUAAUAUAAAUGAUAGUUUUUCUUUUCUGUUGAACAUCACAUGGUUAAUCUGUUUCUGAUACUAGGUAUGUUGAAAUUACUUUUAUGAAUAUUUAUAAACACUUGUUGCUAUGGUUAGAGAAUUUUUUUGAGAGCCAUCCUUUGAAGAUGCCUUAUGUGAUGUAAGCUGCAGUUUUUGAGAACAUUGACUUUUAUGCACAGUAAUAAAACAGCAUGUGUGCUGUUGCCUUCAGGUUCGUUGGAGUGUUAUUGCUAAAUGACAGGUUUUGUUAAAUGCAGAAAUAUUUCCUUCUUUUUUUUUUUUUUCCCCCAGAAAAUAUUUAAAUGUAUUCUAGUAAAGGAUUGAAAAGGUAGACAGGAAGUCACAGAUCUGAACAAUAUGGCAGUCAAGACAUUUGUCAAGAAAAUCCCUUGUAAUAUCCAUUAUGACAUUUCUUUAAAUUCCUGUUUGCUCUGUUUCCUGUGUUCUAACCUUCUCUCUGACUUGAGCCUAAAUACUUGCCUCAUGUAUUGACCUAUGACUGGAUCCCAAUUAUCAGCUCACUUGAGCUGAUACCUGCUCUUACUGAAUGCAUGUAACAUUCAGUUCUUUGAAACAAUGCAUAUCUGAUACUGUUUGUCUAACAAAGCAUAU
Molecule: long non-coding RNA, 1124 nt
Organism: Empidonax traillii (willow flycatcher)
Lineage: Eukaryota; Metazoa; Chordata; Aves; Passeriformes; Tyrannidae
Exons: 2
Source: RefSeq, a predicted model, not a curated record